Molecule: ribosomal RNA, 511 nt
Filed under: Heterocarpus laevigatus
Lineage: Eukaryota; Metazoa; Arthropoda; Malacostraca; Decapoda; Pandalidae
Description: partial 16S ribosomal RNA
Rfam family: Bacterial large subunit ribosomal RNA
Source: RNAcentral
UGUAUGAUUAUUAAUAUAAAGUCUGGCCUGCCCACUGAAGUAUUUUUAAAGGGCCGCGGUAAUUUGACCGUGCGAAGGUAGCAUAAUCAGUAGUCUUUUAAUUGGAGGCUGGAAUGAAUGGUCGGACAAAGAGUCAGCUGUCUUUAUACAUGGUUUGAAUUUUACUUUUAAGUGAAAAGGCUUAAAUAUUUUAGGGGGACGAUAAGACCCUAUAAAACUUUACAGGUAAAUCUGUGCUUCUUAAAUUAAAGUUUAACAUUGGUCAUCGUCUUGCCUGUUGUGUUGGGGCGACAAAGAUAUAAUUUAAAUAACUGUCAAUUUUAUUAAAUAGCGAUAAUUAGAUUAGUUGAUCCUUUAUUAGAGAUUAUAAGAUUAAGUUACUUUAGGGAUAACAGCGUAAUUUUUUCUGAGAGUCCAUAUCGACGAAAAUAGUUGCGACCUCGAUGUUGAAUUAAGAUUCCCCUUAGGUGAAGCAGUUUAAGUGGUAGGUCUGUUCGACCUUUAAAAUCUU